GACGAACGCUGGCGGCGCGCCUAACACAUGCAAGUCGAACGAGCGAGAGAGAGCUUGCUUUCUCGAGCGAGUGGCGAACGGGUGAGUAACGCGUGAGGAACCUGCCUCAAAGAGGGGGACAACAGUUGGAAACGACUGCUAAUACCGCAUAAGACCACAGAGCCGCAUGGCUCGGGGGUCAAAGGAGAAAUCCGCUGAAGGAUGGCCUCGCGUCCGAUUAGCUAGUUGGCGGGGUAACGGCCCACCAAGGCGACGAUCGGUAGCCGGACUGAGAGGUUGAUCGGCCACAUUGGGACUGAGACACGGCCCAG
Molecule: ribosomal RNA, 311 nt
Filed under: uncultured bacterium
Lineage: Bacteria
Description: bacterial SSU rRNA
Rfam family: Bacterial small subunit ribosomal RNA
Source: RNAcentral